RNAcentral lists this ribosomal RNA (512 nucleotides) under uncultured bacterium. RNAcentral describes it as "partial 16S ribosomal RNA". It matches the Rfam family "Bacterial small subunit ribosomal RNA", at positions 28 to 523 of the family's 1533-position model. The record is from RNAcentral.
GACGAACGCUGGCGGCGUGCCUAAUACAUGCAAGUCGAGCGGAACUGGGGGAGCUUGCUCCUUCCAGUUUAGCGGCGGACGGGUGAGUAACACGUGGGCAACCUGCCCUGCAGAUCGGGAUAACUCCGGGAAACCGGUGCUAAUACCGAAUAGUUUGGCGCCUCGCCUGAGGCGCCACGGAAAGACGGUUUCGGCUGUCACUGCAGGAUGGGCCCGCGGCGCAUUAGCUAGUUGGUGGGGUAACGGCCCACCAAGGCGACGAUGCGUAGCCGACCUGAGAGGGUGACCGGCCACACUGGGACUGAGACACGGCCCAGACUCCUACGGGAGGCAGCAGUAGGGAAUCUUCCGCAAUGGACGCAAGUCUGACGGAGCAACGCCGCGUGAGUGACGAAGGUUUUCGGAUCGUAAAACUCUGUUGUGAGGGAAGAACACGUACCAACUAACUAUUGGUACCUUGACGGUACCUCACCAGAAAGCCACGGCUAACUACGUGCCAGCCGCCGCAGUAA